GAUGAAGAACGUAGUGAAAUGCGAUAAGUAAUGUGAAUUGCAGAAUUCAGUGAAUCAUCGAAUCUUUGAACGCACAUUGCGCCCCUUGGUAUCCAUGGGGCAUGCCUGUUCGAGCGUCAUUUGUACCUUCAAGCUCUGCUUGGUGUUGGGUGUUUGUCUCGCCUCUGCGUGUAGACUCGCCUCAAAACAAUUGGCAGCCGGCGUAUUGAUUUCGGAGCGCAGUACAUCUCGCGCUUUGCACUCAUAACGACGACGUCCAAAAGUACAUUUUUACCCUCUUGACCUCGGAUCAGGUAGGGAUACCCGCUGAACUUAAGCAUAUCAAUAAGCGGAGGA
Molecule: unclassified non-coding RNA, 336 nt
Filed under: soil metagenome
Description: partial contains 5.8S ribosomal RNA, internal transcribed spacer 2, and large subunit ribosomal RNA
Rfam family: 5.8S ribosomal RNA (bases 1-119)
Source: RNAcentral